This 533-nucleotide ribosomal RNA is filed under the name uncultured bacterium. Its description in RNAcentral is "bacterial SSU rRNA". It matches the Rfam family "Bacterial small subunit ribosomal RNA", at positions 30 to 518 of the family's 1533-position model. The record is from RNAcentral.
UGAACGCUGGCGGCGAUGCCUAAGACAUGCAAGUCGAACGAGAUGGCCUUUGAAAACUGCGUACUUGUACAAAGUUAGGAUUAAGAUUUCCAUCUAGUGGCAGACGGGUGAGUAAUACAUAAGUAAUCUACCUCAGAGACUGGGAUAACGUUUGGAAACGAACGCUAAUACCGGAUGAUUCUUCUUACACAAGUAAGAAAGCUAAAAGGAGCGUUUGCUUCACUUUGAGAUGAGCUUAUGGCGUAUUAACUAGUUGGUGGGGGUAAUGGCCUACCAAGGUGACGAUGCGUAGCCGAACUGAGAGGUUGAUCGGCCACAUUGGGACUGAGACACGGCCCAAACUCCUACGGGAGGCAGCAGUUAGGAAUAUUCGUCAAUGGGGGAAACCCUGAACGAGCAAUGCCGCGUGAGUGAAUGACGGUCUUUAUGAUUGUAAAACUCUGUUGUAAGGAAAGAACCCUUAUCAUAGGAAAUGAUGAUAAGCUGACGGUACCUUACCAGAAAGCCCCGGCUAACUACGUGCCAGCCGCGGC